ACAGUGGUAGUUCAGUAGUAAAAUUCCCAACUUCCAUGUGGGAGACCUGGGUUGGAUCCCCGGUCACUGCA
RNAcentral lists this transfer RNA (71 nucleotides) under Loxodonta africana (African savanna elephant). It matches the Rfam family "tRNA". From Rfam's summary of the family: Transfer RNA (tRNA) molecules are approximately 80 nucleotides in length. Their secondary structure includes four short double-helical elements and three loops (D, anti-codon, and T loops). Lineage: Eukaryota; Metazoa; Chordata; Mammalia; Proboscidea; Elephantidae. The record is from Rfam by way of RNAcentral.